CUUCCAUUAUUAAGAUAUAAUGCCUCUGUAUUACCACAUAAUACUUUGAUAUGGAAAUAUUUGCCUAGCAUCAGGUUUUACCACAUAAUGGUUGCAGCUGCUCCUAUAUUAUACCACUGGAUUCAUAAAAUGGAAUGUAGGGAGUAUUCUAUUUGCUUAAAAGUUGACCUUCUUACUUGCAGGCUUGUAGUACCUUCAGUUGACCUUUGUGACUUAAUUGGAUGAUUUAGAACUGUACUCUAAACCAUAAGUCUUUGACUUUAAGAUGCUCACUGUAAAGAGAAUCUCUCUCUGUGAAGUAGUUGCCUAUUUGACUGGCCUACCAGUUCUGCGAUAUUCGUUGGACAUUAGGAAGGAGCAUGUUAAUUUGGUUGAUGCACAAUUACAGAAGUUGGUAUACAGUGGCCGGCUUAGCUGAUCAAGAGGAAUUGGACAGAUUUGCUAAGCUGCAUUGACAAGGCAUUUGACUGCAUUUAUAUACUCUACUUUCAAUUUUAUUUCAUGGGUGUCGGGCGUUGGCAGCUUGCUAGCUGCUGGGUGACACGGCCGCGGGCAGCAGUUUAGUGUUCCUCUCAUAUUCAGUUAGGAUGAGAAGACUAGAUACUAUUCGGAAGUGGAUGUAGUACAUUCAGCCAGGUCCAGCCAGGUCUGAAGGCACGCUUAGUGUUUUUCCUGUUGAGUAAUUGGUAUGUACAUGGAGAGAUCUGAUUCUGUCAGCUUCAAAAUUUGCUAAUUCAUCAUCUUCUUUGUACAUACUCUUUGCAGAGAUACAAUCUAUAAGGGAUAUCAACACAUGGUUGCAGUGGUCCAUGUUGUGUACAGUAAUUACUUGAUGAGUAAUGUAAUUGUUGUGUAGUAGUUCAAUCUGGCUAUUAGAUAUUGCCAGCAUUUUCUUGCCAUUUGGUUAUUCAAAGAAUUGAUAUUAGGGUAGUAGGACAUAAUAAGACUUUUCGAUAAUAUACAGGUUAAAUAUGUAUUUAAUAAAGGUUCAUUGAUGCAGAGGAUGGGGCUUUCCCGUUUAAAAAGAAGUUAAAUAUGUGAUUAUGCAUAAAAGGAAGUCCCCGGUCUAUUUUUGUUGUGGUAUCUCGGCUUAAUGAUUCUUUCAAGGGAAGACAAGAUGGAAAAGAAGCAUCACGAACUAACCCUGGAGAAUUGAUUGUACCCCACUAGCGUCGCCAGUCUCCUAAGCAAAGGUUGGUGUAAGAACCUUCACCUCCUUCUGUUUCAUGGGAGCCGCUGGCGCCAUGUCGGACGCGAUGACAUCUGGAUUGGCAGAAAACACACAUUGGCUGCGAGCGCGGCCGUAUUUUGGAGCUAAACCUAGAAAGUUUCUUGAUUUAUGACGAAAGUGGAGUUCGUGUGGAAAAGGUGGAGGCAAAUCGGUCGAGGUGGGUUUACACAGGGCUGGCAGUUUGGUCCAUACACACGGAUACAAGAAAUAUGUAUUGGCUAUAUUUGCGUAUACUGUACAUACGAGGUUUUCAUUAGCUAAAUUUGGUUAUAU
Non-coding RNA from Lolium perenne, 1504 nucleotides. The record is from RefSeq and is a predicted model, not a curated record. Lineage: Eukaryota; Viridiplantae; Streptophyta; Magnoliopsida; Poales; Poaceae.